Long non-coding RNA from Onychomys torridus (southern grasshopper mouse), 2216 nucleotides. RefSeq lists it as uncharacterized. The transcript is spliced from 4 exons. NCBI's taxonomy places the organism in Eukaryota, Metazoa, Chordata, Mammalia, Rodentia, Cricetidae. The record is from RefSeq and is a predicted model, not a curated record.
ACAAACGGGCAGGAGGUGGGGGUGGGCACAGGACAAUGGGAAGACACUGUACUAACUAGUAAAAAGCACUUAGACUUGUGAUUUUUCUAGAGAUGUCCCCAGGGCUCAAGUGCUUUCCUUCUACUUUUUCCUUCACUUACUGGAUAAGUACCACUGAGUUAAUCACACCUGAAUGUACACCGUCCAGAGAGAAUUUAUGAAGGCAAAAGAUGAGGAUUCUGAUGAGGGGUGGUUUUCACUCUUUGGCUUGAAUUGGGAGAGAUGAAAGUAAAAUGGCUGCCUUUUAAGCUAGCUCCCUAACACUGGACAAAAUGGAUACCAGGCAUGUCUCACUUUUUUUUCUCGUUUUUUUUCCAGACCAAAUGGGCGGGAGAAGAGGAUGUAAGAUGGCGCUGCUGAGCUUAUGUAGAGCACUACUGCCCCCAAGUGGAAUUAUUUUUAGCAGAUGUGGCACCAUCAAGGUUUCUUUCCCAUAAACCCUAGCAAGGAAGAGGACUGGCCGCCAAAUUUAAGCUCAUUGUCUUCCAAGGCACCAAGAUACCAGAAAGUCUGGAUCCCCUAGGUUUGCCCCCAGAACCACCAGAAAGUUCAAUGCCAUGUAGAAGGCUGGUGGGUAAAGAGGGGCAGAAACCAGAAGACUUGGCCAUGUGGACACAGACUUCUUCAAAAAGAUAUCUAUCUGAUCAUAAAUGACAGUUGGUGCCUCAGGCGGGGCCUGUCCUGUCAAACCCUGUUUACUUAUGAAGAGCUUUCCUACACAUCUGAAUCUACAAGAAGCACAGUUCUUGCUCAACUCUCCAGACAACUGGGCGCACCUGAGACCAUACCAUACAGCACGCCUUCUCACGGCCUCUAGAACUGAUCCUUGCUUGCUGUUUCUACACCACUGCAAUGACAUAGCCAUCUGGCUUCGCACAGAAAUGUUACUUAAAAGCCUGCUUCAAGGGGCUGGAGUUGGAAAGAAGUGCCCAUGAAGAUGUCUGUAAUGAACACAGGUAACAGGAUACUCAUCCGCAUAGAGGACUUCAUCUGGAAAUCCUGUCAGUAACACCAGCAUCACAGGUUUAACAGGCCUACUUCAGCUGAUUUCUGAAGGAUGUUAUAAACAUUGAUUUGAUGGUGGUUUAUUAUCUACCUGUAUGGUACCCACACUCAUAGAAAACCAAAGGCACAGGUAUGGUAAAGCAUUCUCUGGACCAUACAGAAUAUAAAGAGACCUUUGUCUUGUGUUUUCUAUGAGGUUUGCCUGGGAUUUACAAAGCCUCAUUGUCAACAAUGUAUACAGGUAAUCUUAAUUGAUCACAUUAUGCAAUGCAUAUAGCUUGGAUUAAGCUAUCAUUUAAUAAGAUGUUACUGUGAUAUAAGGAAAGAAAUAAAAGGGAACUAAUAAGUAGAAGAGAUAUGAAAUAUUAUAAGGAUAUGGAUGGAAACUUUGUCCUUAGUUUAAAGAUCACUGGAUGUUUCCAAACUGGAAAAGAUAAAAGACAGUGGAAAGUCUGAAGAAAUCACAAAAGGUCUGAGUAGGUUAUAGAAAGUAUGGCAAAGAUGAGGGAUAGUGAUGAUGUAUGUAAGAUUAAAAUUUCUAAUGUCCAAUGUCCUGUUUAGAUGAAUAGCAUUCUCUUAAGGUAAAGAUAUGCGUUUGGUAUCUUUCACAAGGACUGACAUAAACAAUCAAAAUAGUCUAUCUAUGUAAGACUUAUUUAAAAGUGUUUGACUUUUGCCAACCUUUAAUGUUACACAAAAGCUAAAAGAUACCAGAUUGGUGUAACUGAUCUGGGUUUUUAAUAACCAUACUUAGAAGCCUAUACGAAUGUGAAUUGAGGCAUUAAAUGGGACUACAUUUUGGGCCUUGCCUUCAAAGGUCCUACAACUCUGGCAAGUCACCUGUCUUCCUGAUCAGAGAAGCUAUGGAGACUGCACAGGGUGGACUCUAACCAGGGGACAAUAGCAUUUGUACAUUUUAUGAACAGAAGAGUUGAUACAAAAAAAUGCCCUCAACGCUUCAAAAGAAUAUUGUCAGCAAUGCCUUGUGACUUAUGUGCAACAAACAGCACAACUAAUAAAUGAAAGAAAAACGACCAAGAAGCUAAAAGAAUGAGAGGGCCCUCCUCCCAAGCACAAAUGACCCUUGAGGACCAGAUACUCAACUGGCUUUGACAGUAAAAAGAAAGUUAUUUUACGCCAACUGCAUGGUCUUAAAGUAGUAGGAAAGUAUA